CCUACGGGAGGUAGCAGUAGGGAAUCUUCCACAAUGGGCGAAAGCCUGAUGGAGCAACGCCGCGUGGGUGAAGAAGGUCUUCGGAUCGUAAAACCCUGUUGUUAGAGAAGAAAGUGCGUGAGAGUAACUGUUCACGUUUCGACGGUAUCUAACCAGAAAGCCACGGCUAACUACGUGCCAGCAGCCGCGGUAAUACGUAGGUGGCAAGCGUUAUCCGGAUUUAUUGGGCGUAAAGGGAACGCAGGCGGUCUUUUAAGUCUGAUGUGAAAGCCUUCGGCUUAACCGGAGUAGUGCAUUGGAGACUGGGAGACUAGAGAGCAGAAGAGGAGAGUGGAACUCCAUGUGUAGCGGUGAAAUGCGUAGAUAUAUGGAAGAACACCAGUGGCGAAAGCGGCUCUCUGGUCUGUAACUGACGCUGAGGUUCGAAAGCGUGGGUAGCAAACAGGAUUAGAUACCCGAGUAGUC
RNAcentral lists this ribosomal RNA (465 nucleotides) under uncultured bacterium. Its description in RNAcentral is "partial 16S ribosomal RNA". It matches the Rfam family "Bacterial small subunit ribosomal RNA", at positions 338 to 795 of the family's 1533-position model. The record is from RNAcentral.